GAUGAACGCUGGCGGCGUGCCUAAUUCAUGCAAGUCGAGCGAAGCGGGGACGGGUGAGUAACACGUGGAUAACCUCCUAUAAGACUGGGAUAACUCCGGGAAACCGGAGCUAAACCGGAUACUUAUAGUUGGAUCCGCGCUGCAUUAGCUAGUUGGUAAGGUAACGGCUUAACAAGGCAACGAUGCAUAGCCGACCUGAGAGGGUGAUCGGCCACACUGGAACGGGGACAGGGUCCAGACGCCACCGGGAGGCAGCGUUAGGGAAGCUUCCGCAAUGGACGAAGGCCUAACGGUGCAACGCCGCGUGAGUGAUGAAGGUCUUCGGAUCGUAAAACUCUGUUAUUAGGACUGCGGUACCUAAACAGAAAGCCACGGCUAACUACGUGCCAGCAGCCGCGGUAAUAC
RNAcentral lists this ribosomal RNA (405 nucleotides) under uncultured bacterium. RNAcentral describes it as "partial 16S ribosomal RNA". It matches the Rfam family "Bacterial small subunit ribosomal RNA", at positions 28 to 526 of the family's 1533-position model. The record is from RNAcentral.